AAAAAGGAGAAACAAAGAGAAAGAGAAUGAUUCUUCAAGGCGAAUGACUCGAAAUGGAGAUUUCUUCUAACACCGCGUGAUCACCGACAACUUUUGCAGGACGGGAUGAAACUCCUCUGGGUUUCCAGUCAGAUGUGCGAGUGGGCUCUCUUUAAAUUAUAAACCUGCAGUCUAACAGAGCCUUCAAGGUUAUGGCCAUGAGAAAUGUGAGUGGAG
RNAcentral lists this long non-coding RNA (216 nucleotides) under Homo sapiens (human). RNAcentral describes it as "non-protein coding LINC01397:4". The record is from RNAcentral. Lineage: Eukaryota; Metazoa; Chordata; Mammalia; Primates; Hominidae.